UAUGGCCAUAGUACCCUGAACACACCCAAUCUUGUCUGAUCUUGGAAGCUAAGCAGGGUCAGGCCUGGUUAGUACUUGGAUGGGAGACUUCAACCUUGAAUUGAUCCAUAC
This 111-nucleotide ribosomal RNA is filed under the name Ochotona princeps (American pika). Lineage: Eukaryota; Metazoa; Chordata; Mammalia; Lagomorpha; Ochotonidae. The record is from RNAcentral.